Molecule: long non-coding RNA, 1453 nt
Organism: Heterocephalus glaber (naked mole-rat)
Lineage: Eukaryota; Metazoa; Chordata; Mammalia; Rodentia; Bathyergidae
Source: Ensembl
GGCUGGUACCCGAGGGAAGAAAGCGGGAGGUCGCGGAGCUGCCUUUGUAGCCGGGGCCGUGACGCCCAGCCCCCCCUGCGUGGCUCUCAGGCCGCCCUAUCAUUACCUGGGGCCGUGCUCCGCCCGCUCCCACUGCCACCUAAACAUUUAGGAUGUGUAUGGGGAAGAAUGGCUGAUGCGUUGCCAAAAAGUGUUCCCUGCCUCAGCCGUUGACCCAGGGUGCAGAAAGACCCGACUGAAGCAGAUUGCUGACUCGAAUCGCAGUGUACGUCCUGUCUGCUGGGGCAGAGCCUGUCCUAUACAGGCAGCCCAGCAGCGUCAGGGAAAUGUUACCUUGCCUCUGCUCCGUAAGUAGGAGGCCUAUGGUGGUUUUACUUGCCCCUGUGUGAACAUGUACAGACGUUUUGUCUUAUUCCCUAAACAAUACAGUAUAACAACUAUUUACACAGCAUUUACAUCACAUUGGGUAUUAUAAGUAAUCUAGGAUGAUUUCAAGUCUUCGGGUGUAGAUUGAUAUGCAAACACUACACCAUGUUAAAUAAGGGACUGGAAUUUGUGGAUUUGGAUAUGGGUGGUCGGUCCUGGCUCCAGUCUGCACUGCACCAUCCCGGAAGAUGCCUCCAAGAGGACUUAGUUGUCCUUAGGUCGGGACUGAGCAUCGGGGCAAUGGGUUCCAGUGCUGACCUUGUGUCGCCGCCUGUAUGACACAAGCUAAGUCCUUUCCAUUUUCUGGGCCUCCCUGAGAACAGGCAGUUGGCCACAUGAUCCCCCGACAAGCGCCUACGGCCAGCUGGGAGGCAGAGGGAAACAGAGCAGAAAGAGCAGGGAAGGGGAGAGGAGACAGGCCCUGAUGGUGUGGGAAAGAGAGAGUGGGUGCAGGGGAAGGCAGAGAAGAGAAGAAAGGCAUCCACUUUCUGAGUCACUAAACAAGCUGAACUUGAAAACUGGCUCGGCAUGGCCGGCCUGGGAGGACGGACCUCCAGCUGGGGAACCUGGCGUCCCAGUCUUUGGCCAGCAGAGCCACCAGGUGGAGUCCCGAGCCAGUACCCCCUCUGCCUCAGGAACAAGGGCAGGAGUCAGGGGGAAUUCCAGGUCAGCUGGAAAAUUACAGAGCCCAGAGAGUGGACGUUGGUAUUUUCCAGGCUUGGGAAGGAGCACUGGGAGCUGGAGACAGCUGUCCCCCCUCCGGGGACUGGGUGUCUUCCUCUUCCUCCCCUGGACCCCACUUCUUGCCAGGGUCUAUGUGCCUCAUGACCCGGAAGAGGAAGCAGGCCCCAGAGCGCAUGUCAUGAGAUCCCCACCCCGCCCAGUGGCCUGGCACUUGGGCAGCUGCCCGGUCACCGUCCUCAGCGAAGAUGACCUCCCUGCCAAGCCAGGUGGAUCCACUUGGUGCUAUGGGAUCCUCUGCCCUGAAACUCCCUCAUAAUACUAGUAGAUAAUCAAUAAUAAUCAU